UCUUUUACUCUUUUACAAAACAAGACGCGGGACACAGUUCCUUGGUGGGACGUUUUCAAACUGAGGGGAUGGGUUGCACAGAGAGUUAGAGACUUUGCAUUGUUUUUGUUUUGCCCAUGAGCAGAGUGAGAGGACUAAGGAGAGACCGUGAGAUUGAAAACUCAAAAGUUCAAAACCCUAAUAGUUUGAAAGAGUGUCCUCGUUUCAAUGGUGCUUUGUGUUUUUUCUUCAUCUCAGGUUCGCUCUAAGCUCUAUAUUUUUUUCAUCUUAGUGGGGUUUUUUAUUUUCUUCAUUUCAGUCCAUUGUGGCAUGCGGGUAUUGUGAUUGUCGAUCUCCUUCUCUUCUGUAUCUUUUGCUUUUUCUUCAUCUUUUCCCGUUAGCUUUAUCUCUCUAUUUCUCUAUUUCUCAAUUUCUCGUAUUUGUUCUUUGUCCCAGUGUGUUGUAGUAUGGUUCUUAUCGAUUCCCUUUUUGUUCUCUAUGGUGUAGAUCUGAGCAACUCUUUAGAUUUUUUUUUUUUUAUUCUUCUCGAUUCCCUUUUUGUUUUCUCUAUGGUGUGGAUCUGCUGCUAUUGGUUGUGCUAGUAGUAGUGUUGUUAUUUUUGUGUUUAUUUUCGUUGUUAAUUUUCUGAUGCUGUUUUAUAAUAUUUUUUAGAUUAGUGGAUUUAUUAGUGUUUAUAUAUUUUUUAUACUCUUUAAGCUAAGACCAACUUUUACACACUUAUAUAAUUGUCAAAUGUAGAAUUGGCUCCUAUAUUCAAAGGUGAA
Juglans microcarpa x Juglans regia is the source of this 764-nucleotide long non-coding RNA. RefSeq lists it as uncharacterized. The record is from RefSeq and is a predicted model, not a curated record. The transcript has 3 exons. Lineage: Eukaryota; Viridiplantae; Streptophyta; Magnoliopsida; Fagales; Juglandaceae.